UUAGGAGGAUAGUAGUGAGGAUCAGUUUUCAAAGUGGGCGAGGGGGAUAGAUUCUACUACAAUUGGUAUGAAGCUAUGGUUGGCUCCGCAGAUUUCCGAGCAUUGGCCAUAGAAGAUGCCUGGGCGAGUGGUGAUGAAGGAUGUUUGGUUAAGUCAUCCAGGGAUAGCGUCAGUUUUUACUCCUAAUGUGGGGACUGUUCAUGAGUGGAGCAUGUUGGCAGCGGUGAUGAUGAUGGGGGAUUCUAUUGGGAUAACGACACGGUGGUCUACUUCCAGGAGUUGGAAGUGGCCUAGUGGGAGGUCUGCUGUGGGGAUUAUGUAUGAGUCGAAUGAGAGGUCCUUGAAGUCUAUGUAUUCGUAGGAUCAGUAUCAUUGGUGUCCGAUGGCUUUUAGGGUCAGGUCGGGUUCAUCGAUUUCGUCUAUUAUAUACAGGAUUUGUAGGGAUGGUAGGGCGAGUAGGAUGAGGACAAUAGCUGGGAAGAUUGUUCAGAUUAGUUCUACUUCUUGGGCAUCGACUGUAUUUGAGGAUAGUUUUUCUAUUAGUAUCAGUGUCAGUAAGUAGAGGACUAGGCUGCAGAUUGUUAGUGCAACCAUGAGGGCGUGGUCGUGGAAUUCAACGAGUUCUUCUAUGAUGGGGGAGGAGGCGUCUUGGAAUCCUAGUUGUGAGUGGUUAGCCAUGUGAGUUUUGGUUGUGUUUAUGGUAAGGAAGAUGGAAGUGGUUAUUAAGAUGUAGAGGUAGAAGGCUAAUAGGGUGAGUUUUGGGUUGUAGAUAAUGAUGAUGGUUAUUCAACCUAGAUGGGAGAUGGAUGAGAAAGCUAGGAUUUUUCAGGUUUGUGUUUGGUUAAGUCCUAUUCAACCACCUAGGGCGGUUGAUGUGAUGGCUAUGGUGGUGAGUAGUAUAGGGUUGAGUGAGUGUGAUGUAAGGAAUAGGAUGGCGGUUGGUGGGAGUUUUAUUACUGUUGACAGUAAUAUGGCUGUGGUGAGAGAUGAGCCUUGGAGUACUUCUGGGAAUCAGAAGUGGAAUGGGGCUAGUCCUAGUUUGAUGGCAAUUGCGGUGGUUAGUAGGAGGCAUGAUGGGGAGUUGGUGAGUUGGGUGAUGUCUCAUUGUCCAGUGGACCAUGCGUUGGUUAUGCUUGAGAAGAGAACUAGUGCUGAGGCGGUUGCUUGUACUAGAAAGUAUUUGAUUGUUGCUUCAAUGGCUCGGGGGUGGUGGGACUUUGAGAUUAGGGGAAUAAUGGCUAGGGUGUUGAUUUCUAGCCCGGUUCAGGCUAUUAUUCAGUGGUUGCUUGAGAUUGUGAUUGUUGUUCCUAGGAGUAAGUUUAGGGUUAAGAUGAGUUUUGCAUGGGGGCUCAU
This 1353-nucleotide long non-coding RNA is filed under the name Strigops habroptila (Kakapo). Its description in RNAcentral is "lncRNA (ENSSHBG00005000493.1)". The record is from RNAcentral. Lineage: Eukaryota; Metazoa; Chordata; Aves; Psittaciformes; Psittacidae.